UUUUUGCCGUUUUUAGCGUUAUUUUGGACACAGAGUUAUUUGGCAUAUGACCUCUUUAAAGUACCAUCUGGGUUGGAUAAAUUAUUUAAAAAGUUGUCACGCGAAACUUUUCGAGAAUGUUUACCGCACCUAGAAAGUGUUUUAUGUGGAUAAAAAUACAAAAUUACAAAACUACGCAAUAGGUCUGCGUCGUUCCGCUAGAAAUUUAAAAUUUAGUUUGUACCU
Molecule: non-coding RNA, 225 nt
Organism: Cinara cedri
Lineage: Eukaryota; Metazoa; Arthropoda; Insecta; Hemiptera; Aphididae
Source: the annotation of a GenBank genome assembly